Molecule: ribosomal RNA, 408 nt
Filed under: Triticum aestivum (bread wheat)
Lineage: Eukaryota; Viridiplantae; Streptophyta; Magnoliopsida; Poales; Poaceae
Description: partial small subunit ribosomal RNA
Source: RNAcentral
GGCUUCUCCUGGGUAUACGUUGCUCUGCUGUUGGCCUUACUCACCUUCAACUCCGUCAUGGCGGUGUACCCCUCCAUGGGCGAUGCGGCCAUUGUGGCCUUCGUCGCCACCUCCUAACUCGACCUGGUGCUGCUCUUCUGCUGCCUCUGGCUUUACGACAGAGCGGCGGCCGGGUCAGCGUGGCGGAACCGGCUCAAGGCGUCGGUGUGGACUCUCACCACGCUGCUCACCUUCUCCUUCGCCUACAUGGUCAUGGGCACGGCCGGCCUCACCCUCCACGUCGCGCUGCUCGUGUGGUUCAUCGCCGCGGCGACGGGGAUCGGUGCCUUCUCCGCCUUCUUUGAGCAGGGCAGGUAUGCCGUGGCGUCUUUACUUGUCUUCCAUGCACCAUGCAUGUCGAUGGAAUAG